This 492-nucleotide ribosomal RNA is filed under the name uncultured bacterium. RNAcentral describes it as "partial 16S ribosomal RNA". It matches the Rfam family "Bacterial small subunit ribosomal RNA", at positions 29 to 507 of the family's 1533-position model. The record is from RNAcentral.
AGUGAACGCUGGCGGUAGGCCUAACACAUGCAAGUCGAACGGCAGCACAGUAAGAGCUUGCUCUUACGGGUGGCGAGUGGCGGACGGGUGAGGAAUACAUCGGAAUCUACUUUUUCGUGGGGGAUAACGUAGGGAAACUUACGCUAAUACCGCAUACGACCUACGGGUGAAAGCAGGGGAUCUUCGGACCUUGCGCGAUUGAAUGAGCCGAUGUCGGAUUAGCUAGUUGGCGGGGUAAAGGCCCACCAAGGCGACGAUCCGUAGCUGGUCUGAGAGGAUGAUCAGCCACACUGGAACUGAGACACGGUCCAGACUCCUACGGGAGGCAGCAGUGGGGAAUAUUGGACAAUGGGCGCAAGCCUGAUCCAGCCAUACCGCGUGGGUGAAGAAGGCCUUCGGGUUGUAAAGCCCUUUUGUUGGGAAAGAAAAGCAGCAGGUUAAUACCCCGCUGUUCUGACGGUACCCAGGGAAUAAGCACCGGCUAACUUCGUG